Molecule: unclassified non-coding RNA, 797 nt
Filed under: Hevea brasiliensis (rubber tree)
Lineage: Eukaryota; Viridiplantae; Streptophyta; Magnoliopsida; Malpighiales; Euphorbiaceae
Source: RNAcentral
UGUUGAAACUGCAAAUUUAUCAACAGAAAGACGGUCACACUCCUGUUUACAGCUGCAUCACUUCAUAUAACACAAUACAUGCAGAGACAAGUUCACUACAUAACUCCUUGGAAUCUAGAUACAUAAGAAACUGACAUGCUGCCCAGACGCUGAACCUUGGUUUCUGAUCUUUUGUUUACAAAAGAUACAUAGAAAGGAGCUCAAAUGAGUUAUUUUAUUCAACAAAGCAAGACAAUAAAUAGUGAUAACAAACAUACGAUACAAAUGGUGAACAUCCAUGGGACUGAUCAAGCACAAGAACCAUGAAUUGGGGGAGCAUAAAUCUGCAAAAUGACAUGCGUGAAACACUUCAUCCAUAUAAAAUUUUAGUUCUUCACUGUGGUUACGUGCCUCAGAAGCAUUUGGACAACAUCAGCAGAGACUCUUGACGCUUCAGUCUUCAGGUGUUCGAUCUUUUCAUUAGUUUCAAUCUCAAGACGUUUGACAUUAGCACCUGAGUCACCACUAGUCUGUUCAAGCUUUCUUUGAAAUUCAGCCUCCAUGUAAGCACGAAAUUCAGCUAUCUCCUUCUCAGCUUCCUCCUUGGCCUGCUUCAAUCUAGCUUGUUUAGCAGUCCUGGCAACAUUGACGAUGCGUUGGGCUUCCUGCUCAGCAGCUAAAAGGAGUUGAAUUCCAUUCUGGCCACCCCUACUAGAUUCCAUUCUCGUCUAUAAAACUGAAACAACUCUGUAGAAUCGGAAUUGAGAAAGUUCUGGCCUUCGUUUCGAUUUUGUUUCACACUCCACCUUAUAUUUGGA